GUUUUUAUGGCUUAAAUUAAAGCGUGGCACUGAAGAAGCUAAGAUAGAUUUUAAGACAUCUUGUAAACA
Molecule: transfer RNA, 69 nt
Filed under: Salamandra salamandra (fire salamander)
Lineage: Eukaryota; Metazoa; Chordata; Amphibia; Caudata; Salamandridae
Description: tRNA-Phe
Rfam family: tRNA
About the family: Transfer RNA (tRNA) molecules are approximately 80 nucleotides in length. Their secondary structure includes four short double-helical elements and three loops (D, anti-codon, and T loops).
Source: RNAcentral